Molecule: ribosomal RNA, 874 nt
Filed under: uncultured Acidobacteriota bacterium
Lineage: Bacteria; Pseudomonadati; Acidobacteriota
Description: bacterial SSU rRNA
Rfam family: Bacterial small subunit ribosomal RNA
Source: RNAcentral
CAAGUCGAACGCGAAAGUCCCGCAAGGGGCAAGUAGAGUGGCAAACGGGUGAGUAACGCGUGGGCGACCUACCUUCGAGUGGGGGAUAACCUUCCGAAAGGAGGGCUAAUACCGCAUGACAUCCCGUGUUUGGAUACACGGACAUCAAAGCUGGGGAUCGCAAGACCUGGCGCUUGGAGAGGGGCCCGCGUCCGAUUAGCUAGUUGGUGGGGUAACGGCCCACCAAGGCUUCGAUCGGUAUCCGGCCUGAGAGGGCGGACGGACACACUGGAACUGAGACACGGUCCAGACUCCUACGGGAGGCAGCAGUAGGGAAUUGUUCGCAAUGGGCGCAAGCCUGACGACGCAACGCCGCGUGGAGGAUGAAGACCUUCGGGUCGUAAACUCCUUUCGACCGAGAUGAAUGCUCACCGGCUUAAUACGCCGGUGAAUUGACAGUAUCGAGGGAAGAAGCCCCGGCUAACUCCGUGCCAGCAGCCGCGGUAAUACGGGGGGGGCAAGCGUUGUUCGGAAUUACUGGGCGUAAAGGGUUCGUAGGUGGCCCGCUAAGUCAGACGUGAAAUCCCUCAGCUCAACUGGGGAACUGCGUCUGAGACUGGCAGGCUCGAGUGCAGGAGAGGAACGCGGAAUUCCAGGUGUAGCGGUGAAAUGCGUAGAUAUCUGGAGGAACACCGGUGGCGAAGGCGGCGUUCUGGACUGUUACUGACACUGAGGAACGAAAGCCAGGGGAGCAAACGGGAUUAGAUACCCCGGUAGUCCUGGCCCUAAACGAUGAAUGCUUGGUGUGGCGGGUAUCGAUCCCUGCCGUGCCGCAGUUAACGCGUUAAGCAUUCCGCCUGGGGAGUACGGUCGCAAGGCUGAAACUCAAGGAAUU